This 253-nucleotide ribosomal RNA is filed under the name uncultured bacterium. Its description in RNAcentral is "partial 16S ribosomal RNA". It matches the Rfam family "Bacterial small subunit ribosomal RNA", at positions 524 to 776 of the family's 1533-position model. The record is from RNAcentral.
UACGAAGGGGGCUAGCGUUGCUCGGAAUCACUGGGCGUAAAGCGUGCGCAGGCGGUUGUGCAAGACAGAUGUGAAAUCCCCGGGCUCAACCUGGGAAUUGCAUUUGUGACUGCACGGCUAGAGUGUGUCAGAGGGGGGUAGAAUUCCACGUGUAGCAGUGAAAUGCGUAGAGAUGUGGAGGAAUACCGAUGGCGAAGGCAGCCCCCUGGGAUAACACUGACGCUCAUGCACGAAAGCGUGGGGAGCAAACAGG